ACCCGCUGAACUUAAGCAUAUCAAUAAGCGGAGGAAAAGAAACUAACAAGGAUUCCCCUAGUAACUGCGAGUGAAGAGGGAAAAGCUCAAAUUUAAAAUCUGGCAGCCUCAGGUUGUCCGAGUUGUAAUUUAGAGAAGUGUUACCCGCGCUGGACCGUGUACAAGUCUCCUGGGAUGGAGCGUCAUAGAGGGUGAGAAUCCCGUCUUUGACACGGACUACCAGGGCAUUGUGGUGCGCUCUCGAAGAGUCGCGUUGUUUGGGAAUGCAGCGCAAAAUGGGUGGUAAAUUCCAUCUAAAGCUAAAUAUUGGCGAGAGACCGAUAGCGAACAAGUACCGUGAGGGAAAGAUGAAAAGAACUUUGGAAAGAGAGUUAAACAGUACGUGAAAUUGCUGAAAGGGAAACGCUUGUAGUCAGUCGCGUUUGCCGGGGAUCAGCUCUGCUUUUGUGGGGUGUACUUCCUGGUUAACGGGUCAGCAUCAGUUUCGAUCGCCGGAAAAGGGUUUGAGGAAUGUGGCAACCUCGGUUGUGUUAUAGCCUCUUAUCGUAUACGGCGGCUGGGACUGAGGAACUCAGCACCCUCUGGUGUGCUUAGGAUGCUGGCAUAAUGGCUUUAAGCGACCCGUCUUGAAACACGG
Molecule: ribosomal RNA, 637 nt
Filed under: uncultured fungus
Lineage: Eukaryota; Fungi
Description: eukaryotic LSU rRNA
Rfam family: Eukaryotic large subunit ribosomal RNA
Source: RNAcentral